RNAcentral lists this ribosomal RNA (427 nucleotides) under uncultured bacterium. RNAcentral describes it as "bacterial SSU rRNA". It matches the Rfam family "Bacterial small subunit ribosomal RNA", at positions 355 to 773 of the family's 1533-position model. The record is from RNAcentral.
UGGGGAAUUGUUCACAAUGGGCGCAAGCCUGAUGACGCAACGCCGCGUGGGGGAUGAAGGUCUUCGGAUUGUAAACCCCUGUCUAAUGGGACGAAAGACUCGCGAGUGAAUCCUUCGCGAGAGUGACGGUACCGUUAAAGGAAGCCACGGCUAACUCUGUGCCAGCAGCCGCGGUAAUACAGAGGUGGCAAGCGUUGUUCGGAAUUACUGGGCGUAAAGGGCGCGUAGGCGGCCAUCUAAGUCAGACGUGAAAUCCCCCGGCUUAACCUGGGAACUGCGUCUGAUACUGGACGGCUUGAGUAUGGGAGAGGGAUGUAGAAUUCCAGGUGUAGCGGUGAAAUGCGUAGAUAUCUGGAGGAAUACCGGUGGCGAAGGCGGCAUCCUGGACCAUUACUGACGCUGAGGCGCGAAAGCUAGGGGAGCAAAC